UAACCUGCCCAAGAGAUCGGGAUAACACCUUGAAACAGAUGCUAAUACCGGAUAACAACAGAUGAUGCCUAUCAACUGUUUAAAAGAUGGUUCUGCUAUCACUCUUGGAUGGACCUGCGGUGCAUUAGCUAGUUGGUAGGGUAACGGCCUACCAAGGCGAUGAUGCAUAGCCGAGUUGAGAGACUGAUCGGCCACAUUGGGACUGAGACACGGCCCAAACUCCUACGGGAGGCAGCAGUG
Molecule: ribosomal RNA, 240 nt
Filed under: uncultured Lactobacillus sp.
Lineage: Bacteria; Bacillati; Bacillota; Bacilli; Lactobacillales; Lactobacillaceae
Description: partial 16S ribosomal RNA
Rfam family: Bacterial small subunit ribosomal RNA
Source: RNAcentral